Molecule: ribosomal RNA, 497 nt
Filed under: uncultured bacterium
Lineage: Bacteria
Description: partial 16S ribosomal RNA
Rfam family: Bacterial small subunit ribosomal RNA
Source: RNAcentral
GAUGAACGCUGGCGGCGUGCCUAAUACAUGCAAGUCGAGCGAACAGAUGAGGAGCUUGCUCCUCUGACGUUAGCGGCGGACGGGUGAGUAACACGUGGAUAACCUACCUAUAAGACUGGGAUAACUUCGGGAAACCGGAGCUAAUACCGGAUAAUAUAUUGAACCGCAUGGUUCAAUAGUGAAAGACGGUUUUGCUGUCACUUAUAGGUGGAUCCGCGCCGCAUUAGCUAGUUGGUAAGGUAACGGCUUACCAAGGCAACGAUGCGUAGCCGACCUGAGAGGGUGAUCGGCCACACUGGAACUGAGACACGGUCCAGACUCCUACGGGAGGCAGCAGUAGGGAAUCUUCCGCAAUGGGCGAAAGCCUGACGGAGCAACGCCGCGUGAGUGAUGAAGGUCUUCGGAUCGUAAAACUCUGUUAUCAGGGAAGAACAAAUGUGUAAGUAACUAUGCACGUCUUGACGGUACCUAAUCAGAAAGCCACGGCUAACUACGUG